UGGCGGACGGGUGAGUAACACGUGAGCAACCUACCUUCGAGAGGGGAAUAACGGCUGGAAACGGUCGCUAAUACCGCAUAACAUACUGGAGGGACAUCCCUUUGGUAUCAAAGAUUAUAUCGCUCGGAGAUGGGCUCGCGUCCGAUUAGGUAGUUGGUGAGGUAACGGCUCACCAAGCCGACGAUCGGUAGCCGGACUGAGAGGUCGAACGGCCACAUUGGGACUGAGACACGGCCCAGACUCCUACGGGAGGCAGCAG
Molecule: ribosomal RNA, 259 nt
Filed under: uncultured bacterium
Lineage: Bacteria
Description: partial 16S ribosomal RNA
Rfam family: Bacterial small subunit ribosomal RNA
Source: RNAcentral